This is a long non-coding RNA of Oncorhynchus keta (chum salmon), 1674 nucleotides long. RefSeq lists it as uncharacterized. The transcript is spliced from 3 exons. Lineage: Eukaryota; Metazoa; Chordata; Actinopteri; Salmoniformes; Salmonidae. The record is from RefSeq and is a predicted model, not a curated record.
AUGUUGUUGUCAUGUUGUGUUGCUGCUUUGCUAUGUUGUUGUCUCUCUUUGUGUAGUGUUGUCCCUCUUGUUGUGAUGUGUGUUUUGUCCUAUAUUUAUAUUUAUUUUUAUUUUUUAUCCCAACCCCUGUCCCACAGGAAGCCUUUUGUCUUUUGGUAGGCUGUCAUUUGUUCUUAACUGACUUGCCUAGUUAAAUAAAAAUAAAUAAACAAAAAAACGGGAGAAAAGGGAUGGAACAUUUGUAAAAUACCGGGAAAAUAUUCAAAUUUAGUUAAAAUGGGAGUGUCGCCUUGUUAACGCGGAGAGGAAGAGGCAAAGCGAGAGUGAAAUCUCUCGCCAAAAUCUGUCCAAAAUAAACCUAAUGUGUUUCCAUGGGUUUAUUUUGGAUCUAAACUUGUUGCCGGCCUGCCCACCUUUGGGACAAUGACUCCCAUUGUUAAAGUGGAAACAUGAGCAUCUCGUCAUUAUAUACAGAUCUUGUAUAUAAUCCAGAAGCAGAAAUUGCAUGAUAGGCUCGCUUUCCAUUUCCCCUGAAAACGAGAACAUCCGAUUUGGUAGAGACUAUUAUGAGUGUACUGGUAGGACAGGUGACAUCCUGGAAAUUUUGAGAAAAAAAAAAUACAUUAUGUGCUGUAUAGGAGUUGUGCCUGCUGUUCACACGCGUAUCGACCCUCUGGUUGGCUAGAAUGGUCCCGGCUGAUCUCACCUCCUCCCGCUUGCCUUCCAUCUUUGAGGUAGUCCCAUUGUUAGAGAGGUCACAUGUCUAUCCUGUCAAUGGACUUGUUUGAGUGGUAAGGCCAAAGAAAAAGACUUGCAGACAAAAGUCGAGGAGUGAAGUCUGGGGGAGGUGCAUCUGCUACAGACAAAAGUCGAGGAGUGAAGUCUGGGGGAGGUGCAUCUGCUACAGACAAAAGUCGAGGAGUGAAGUCUGGGGGAGGUGCAUCUGCUACAGACAAAAGUCGAGGAGUGAAGUCUGGGGGAGGUGCAUCUGCUACAGACAAAAGUCGAGGAGUGAAGUCUGGGGGAGGUGCAUCUGCUACAGACAAAAGUCGAGGAGUGAAGUCUGGGGGAGGUGCAUCUGCUACAGACAAAAGUCGAGGAGUGAAGUCUGGGGGAGGUGCAUCUGCUACAGACAAAAGUCGAGGAGUGAAGUCUGGGGGAGGUGCAUCUGCUACAGACAAAAGUCGAGGAGUGAAGUCUGGGGGAGGUGCAUCUGCUACAGACAAAAGUCGAGGAGUGAAGUCUGGGGGAGGUGCAUCUGCUACAGACAAAAGUCGAGGAGUGAAGUCUGGGGGAGGUGCAUCUGCUACAGACAAAAGUGGAGGAGUGAAGUCUGGGGGAGGUGCAUCUGCUACAGACAAAAGUGGAGGAGUGAAGUCUGGGGGAGGUGCAUCUGCUACAGACAAAAAGCAGACACUGAUGUGGAUUUCCAACCGCAAGGCUCAGUGCAACAUGGCAUUUUUUAUGAAAGGAUUUGUAUUUAUUUAUUUAAUAUCGAAAUAAACAUGUUUCCAACCCCCAUAUCACACAUUUACAAACUUAAAAUCAUGUGUGAGCCUCAAAUAUCACAUUCAUUUGUACAUAUCCACUGUACACAUGUGAAUCGUGGCAAAGUUGCUUCCUGUUUUUAGUCACGUCUUUGGUCACUUUAGUGUGGGUCAAACAAUAACAACC